GGUUAAGUGGGAAACGAUGUGGGAAGGCCCAGACAGCCAGGAUGUUGGCUUAGAAGCAGCCAUCAUUUAAAGAAAGCGUAAUAGCUCACUGGUCGAGUCGGCCUGCGCGGAAGAUGUAACGGGGCUAAACCAUGCACCGAAGCUGCGGCAGCGACACUAUGUGUUGUUGGGUAGGGGAGCGUUCUGUAAGCCUGUGAAGGUGGCCUGUGAGGGUUGCUGGAGGUAUCAGAAGUGCGAAUGCUGACAUAAGUAACGAUAAAGCGGGUGAAAAGCCCGCUCGCCGGAAGACCAAGGGUUCCUGUCCAACGUUAAUCGGGGCAGGGUGAGUCGACCCCUAAGGCGAGGCCGAAAGGCGUAGUCGAUGGGAAACAGGUUAAUAUUCCUGUACUUGGUGUUACUGCGAAGGGGGGACGGAGAAGGCUAUGUUGGCCGGGCGACGGUUGUCCCGGUUUAAGCGUGUAGGCUGGUUUUCCAGGCAAAUCCGGAAAACCAAGGCUGAGGCGUGAUGACGAGGCACUACGGUGCUGAAGCGACAAAUGCCCUGCUUCCAGGAAAAGCCUCUAAGCAUCAGGUAACAUCAAAUCGUACCCCAAACCGACACAGGUGGUCAGGUAGAGAAUACCAAGGCGCUUGAGAGAACUCGGGUGAAGGAACUAGGCAAAAUGGUGCCGUAACUUCGGGAGAAGGCACGCUGAUAUGUAGGUGAAGCGACUUGCUCGUGGAGCUGAAAUCAGUCGAAGAUACCAGCUGGCUGCAACUGUUUAUUAAAAACACAGCACUGUGCAAACACGAAAGUGGACGUAUACGGUGUGACGCCUGCCCGGUGCCGGAAG
RNAcentral lists this ribosomal RNA (833 nucleotides) under Escherichia coli. RNAcentral describes it as "partial 23S ribosomal RNA". It matches the Rfam family "Bacterial large subunit ribosomal RNA", at positions 1057 to 1875 of the family's 2925-position model. The record is from RNAcentral. Lineage: Bacteria; Pseudomonadati; Pseudomonadota; Gammaproteobacteria; Enterobacterales; Enterobacteriaceae.